UACGAAGGGGGCUAGCGUUGCUCGGAUUGACUGGGCGUAAAGGGCGCGUAGGCGGUUUGUACAGUCAGACGUGAAAUUCCUGGGCUUAACCUGGGGGCUGCGUUUGAUACGUGCAGGCUUGAGUUCGGAAGAGGGUCGUGGAAUUCCCAGUGUAGAGGUGAAAUUCGUAGAUAUUGGGAAGAACACCGGUGGCGAAGGCGGCGACCUGGUCCGAUACUGACGCUGAGGCGCGAAAGCGUGGGGAGCAAACAGG
RNAcentral lists this ribosomal RNA (253 nucleotides) under uncultured bacterium. Its description in RNAcentral is "partial 16S ribosomal RNA". It matches the Rfam family "Bacterial small subunit ribosomal RNA", at positions 524 to 776 of the family's 1533-position model. The record is from RNAcentral.